CGAAUGGGCGAAAGCCUGACGCAGCAACGCCGCGUGAGUGAUGAAGGCCUUCGGGUCGUAAAGCUCUGUCAGAGGGGAAGAAACUCCUGCCGGUUAAUACCCGGUGGGCUUGACGGUACCCUCAAAGGAAGCACCGGCUAACUCCGUGCCAGCAGCCGCGGUAAUACGGAGGGUGCGAGCGUUGUUCGGAAUUAUUGGGCGUAAAGCGCGUGUAGGCGGCCGUUUAAGUCCGAUGUGAAAGCCCUGGGCUUAACCCGGGAAGUGCAUUGGAAACUGGACGGCUUGAGUACGGGAGAGGGAGGUGGAAUUCCGAGUGUAGGGGUGAAAUCCGUAGAUAUUCGGAGGAACACCGGUGGCGAAGGCGGCCUCCUGGACCGAUACUGACGCUGAGGCGCGAAAGCGUGGGGAGCAAACAGGAUUAGAUACCCUAGUAGUCCACGCCGUAAACGAUGGGCACUAGGUGUCGCGGGUAUUGACCCCUGCGGUGCCGAAGCUAACGCAUUAAGUGCCCCGCCUGGGGAGUACGGCCGCAAGGCUA
This 538-nucleotide ribosomal RNA is filed under the name uncultured Pseudomonadota bacterium. RNAcentral describes it as "bacterial SSU rRNA". It matches the Rfam family "Bacterial small subunit ribosomal RNA", at positions 367 to 896 of the family's 1533-position model. The record is from RNAcentral. Lineage: Bacteria; Pseudomonadati; Pseudomonadota.